RNAcentral lists this transfer RNA (85 nucleotides) under Felis catus (domestic cat). It matches the Rfam family "tRNA". From Rfam's summary of the family: Transfer RNA (tRNA) molecules are approximately 80 nucleotides in length. Their secondary structure includes four short double-helical elements and three loops (D, anti-codon, and T loops). Further hydrogen bonds mediate the characteristic L-shaped molecular structure. tRNAs have two regions of fundamental functional importance: the anti-codon, which is responsible for specific mRNA codon recognition, and the 3' end, to which the tRNAs corresponding amino acid is attached (by aminoacyl-tRNA synthetases). tRNAs cope with the degeneracy of the genetic code in two manners: having more than one tRNA (with a specific anti-codon) for a particular amino acid; and 'wobble' base-pairing, i.e. permitting non-standard base-pairing at the 3rd anti-codon position. Lineage: Eukaryota; Metazoa; Chordata; Mammalia; Carnivora; Felidae. The record is from Rfam by way of RNAcentral.
ACCUGGGUGGCUCAGUCGGUUGAGCGUCUGACUUCGGCUCAGGUCAUAAUCUCACAUUUUGCGGGUUCGAGCCCCGAAUCAGGCU